This 467-nucleotide ribosomal RNA is filed under the name uncultured bacterium. Its description in RNAcentral is "partial 16S ribosomal RNA". It matches the Rfam family "Bacterial small subunit ribosomal RNA", at positions 28 to 507 of the family's 1533-position model. The record is from RNAcentral.
GACGAACGCUGGCGGCGUGCUUAACACAUGCAAGUCGAACGGAAAGGCCUCUUUCGGGGGGUACUCGAGUGGCGAACGGGUGAGUAACACGUGAGUAACCUGCCCUUGACUUUGGGAUAACUUCAGGAAACUGGGGCUAAUACCGGAUAGGAGCUCCUGCUGCAUGGUGGGGGUUGGAAAGUUUCGGCGGUUGGGGUUGGACUCGCGGCUUAUCAGCUUGUUGGUGGGGUAGUGGCUUACCAAGGCUUUGACGGGUAGCCGGCCUGAGAGGGUGACCGGCCAUAAUGGGACUGAGGUACGGCCCAGACUCCUACGGGAGGCAGCAGUGGGGAAUAUUGCACAAUGGGUGGAAGCCUGAUGCAGCAACGCCGUGUGCGGGAUGACGGCCUUCGGGUUGUAAACCGCUUUCGCUCAUGACGAAGCUUUGUGUGACGGUAGUGGGUAAAGAAGCACCGGCUAACUACGUG